AUGGGGGGGGGGGGGCCUACCAUGCCACUCGAACGGAACAUCCCGUCGAUGCGAUUUCGGUUAAGUCAAGGGAUCCUUUAAUGGCGGACGGGUGAGUAACGCGUGGGCAACCUGCCUUACACCGGGGGAUAACACUUAGAAAUAGGUGCUAAUACCGCAUAACAGGAGAACAUGCAUGUGUUUUCCUUGACCACCACGGUGGUGUAAGAUGGACCCGCGUCUGAUUAGCUUGUUGGCAGGGUAACGGCCUACCAAGGCGACGAUCAGUAGCCGGCCUGAGAGGGUGGACGGCCACAUUGGGACUGAGACACGGCCCAGACUCCUACGGGAGGCAGCAGUGGGGAAUAUUGCACAAUGGGGGAAACCCUGAUGCAGCGACGCCGCGUGAGUGAAGAAGUAUUUCGGUAUGUAAAGCUCUGUCAGCAGGGAAGAAAAUGACGGUACCUGACCAAGAAGCCCCGGCUAACUACGUGCCAGCAGCCGCGGUAAUACGUAGGGGGCAAGCGUUAUCCGGAUUUACUGGGUGUAAAGGGAGCGCAGACGGCAGUGCAAGUCCGGAGUGAAAGCCCGGGGCCCAACCCCGGGACUGCUCUGGAAACUGUACGGCUGGAGUGCCGGAGAGGUAAGCGGAAUUCCUAGUGUACCGGUGAAAUGCGUAGAUAUUUAGGAGGAACACCCCUGUCGAACGCGGCUUAUUGGACCGGAACUGACGUUUGAGGUUCGACUGCGUUGGGGAGCAAACAGGACUAAAUACCCUGUUAGUCCCCCCCCUAAAAGAUCACUACUACGUGCCGGGGGAUUAUCGGUCCUCCGGUGCACGGCCAAACCCCUUAUAUAUUCUUUCUUGAGG
RNAcentral lists this ribosomal RNA (850 nucleotides) under uncultured bacterium. RNAcentral's name for it is "bacterial SSU rRNA". It matches the Rfam family "Bacterial small subunit ribosomal RNA", at positions 33 to 878 of the family's 1533-position model. The record is from RNAcentral.